Molecule: ribosomal RNA, 253 nt
Filed under: uncultured bacterium
Lineage: Bacteria
Description: partial 16S ribosomal RNA
Rfam family: Bacterial small subunit ribosomal RNA
Source: RNAcentral
GACGUAGGGGGCCAGCGUUGCUCGGAAUUACUGGGCGUAAAGGGUUCGUAGGCGGUGCGGUAAGUCGGACGUGAAAUCUCUGGGCUUAACUCAGAGGCUGCUUUCGAAACUGCCGUGCUAGAGUGCGGGAGAGGCGAGUGGAAUUGCAGGUGUAGCGGUGAAAUGCGUAGAUAUCUGCAGGAACACCCGUGGCGAAGGCGGCUCGCUGGACCGCAACUGACGCUGAGGAACGAAAGCUAGGGGAGCAAACAGG